UAGUCCACGCCGUAAGCGAUGGGCACUAGAUAUCGGGGGGAAUUUCGAUUUCUUCGGUGUCGCAGGUUAAGCGCGAUAAGUGCCCCGCCUGGUGAGUACGCCCGCAAGGGUGAAACUCAAAGGAAUUGACGGGGGCCCGCACAAGCGGUGGAGCAUGCGCUUUAAUUCGAUGCAACGCGAAGAACCUUACCUGGGUUUGACAUGGGAGUGAAAGUUCCUAGAGAUAGGAACCUUUCCUUCGGGAACACUCCACACAGGUGCUGCAUGGUUGUCGUCAGCUCGUGUCGUGAGAUGUUGGGUUAAGUCCCGCAACGAGCGCAACCCUCGCCCUUAGUUGCCAUCAGGUAAUGCCGGGAACUCUAGGGGGACCGCCUGGAACAACCAGGAGGAAGGUGGGGAUGAUGUCAAAUCAUCAUGGCUCUUACGUCCAGGGCUAGACGCGUGCUACAAUGGUCGGUACAGAAGGAUGCCAAGUCGUGAGACCGAGCUAAUCCAUGAAAACCGGCCUCAGUUCGGAUUGGAGUCUGCAAUUCGACUCCAUGAAGGUGGAAUCGCUAGUAAUCGCGGAUCAGCACGCCGCGCUGAAUAUGUUCCCGGGCCUUGUACACACCGCCCGUCAAGCCACGAAAGAUGGGAGUACCCGAAGUCGCUUGCCCAACCUGCAAGGGGGGGUGGUGCCGAAGGUA
RNAcentral lists this ribosomal RNA (686 nucleotides) under uncultured organism. RNAcentral describes it as "bacterial SSU rRNA". It matches the Rfam family "Bacterial small subunit ribosomal RNA", at positions 791 to 1464 of the family's 1533-position model. The record is from RNAcentral.